AGGGUUAUAUUUAAUAAUAAUAUUCAAAUUGCAAAUGAAAGGUGUUUAAAAACUAACCUUU
This 61-nucleotide transfer RNA is filed under the name Krisna quadrimaculosus. Its description in RNAcentral is "tRNA-Ala". Lineage: Eukaryota; Metazoa; Arthropoda; Insecta; Hemiptera; Cicadellidae. The record is from RNAcentral.